GGCCUAGUGGUGUAAUGGUAACACCUUUGCUCUACAUUCGUAUGCAUGACAGGUUUUUGUGGAAGUUCCUUGUUCGACUCAGGGCUAGGCCA
Non-coding RNA from Mycena latifolia, 92 nucleotides. The record is from the annotation of a GenBank genome assembly. Lineage: Eukaryota; Fungi; Basidiomycota; Agaricomycetes; Agaricales; Mycenaceae.